RNAcentral lists this small nuclear RNA (23 nucleotides) under Arabidopsis thaliana (thale cress). RNAcentral describes it as "snRNA_06159". The record is from RNAcentral. Lineage: Eukaryota; Viridiplantae; Streptophyta; Magnoliopsida; Brassicales; Brassicaceae.
GAUUCAAUACAACAUAUCACUUA